Molecule: transfer RNA, 63 nt
Filed under: Marmota marmota marmota (Alpine marmot)
Lineage: Eukaryota; Metazoa; Chordata; Mammalia; Rodentia; Sciuridae
Also listed under: 3 other names
Rfam family: tRNA
About the family: Transfer RNA (tRNA) molecules are approximately 80 nucleotides in length. Their secondary structure includes four short double-helical elements and three loops (D, anti-codon, and T loops).
Source: Rfam by way of RNAcentral
GUGUAGCUCAGUGGUAGAGUGCAUGCUUUGCAUACAUGAAGCCCUAGGUUCAAUUCUCAGCAC